GACGAACGCUGGCGGCGUGCCUAAUACAUGCAAGUCGAACGCACAGUUUAUACCGUAGCUUGCUACACCAUAGACUGUGAGUUGCGAACGGGUGAGUAACGCGUAGGUAACCUGCCUGGUAGCGGGGGAUAACUAUUGGCAACGAUAGCUAAUACCGCAUAAUAUUAAUUAUUGCAUGAUAAUUAAUUGAAAGGUGCAAUUGCACCACUACCAGAUGGACCUGCGUUGUAUUAGCUAGUAGGUGAGGUAGCGGCUCACCUAGGCGACGAUACAUAGCCGACCUGAGAGGGUGGUCGGCCACACUGGGACUGAGACACGGCCCAGACUCCUACGGGAGGCAGCAGUAGGGAAUCUUCGGCAAUGGACGAAAGUCUGGCCGAGCAACGCCGCGGGAGUGAAGAAGGUUUUCGGAUCGGAAAGCUCGGUUGUAAGAGAAGAACGGGUGUGAGAGUGGAAAGUUCACACUGUGACGGUAUCUGACCAGAAAGGGACGGCUAACUACGUG
Molecule: ribosomal RNA, 505 nt
Filed under: uncultured bacterium
Lineage: Bacteria
Description: partial 16S ribosomal RNA
Rfam family: Bacterial small subunit ribosomal RNA
Source: RNAcentral